UUGAAACACCGAUUUCCGUACGAUCACCGAAGUUAAGCAACGUAGAACCUAGUCAGUACCUAAAUGGGUGACUGCUUGGGAAUACCGGGUUCUGCAAG
Non-coding RNA from Acanthosepion pharaonis, 98 nucleotides. NCBI's taxonomy places the organism in Eukaryota, Metazoa, Mollusca, Cephalopoda, Sepiida, Sepiidae. The record is from the annotation of a GenBank genome assembly.